CCUACGGGUGGCAGCAGUGAGGAAUAUUGGUCAAUGGACGAGAGUCUGAACCAGCCAAGUAGCGUGAAGGAUGACUGCCCUAUGGGUUGUAAACUUCUUUUAUAUGGGAAUAAAAUGUUCCACGUGUGGGAUUUUGUAUGUACCCUAUGAAUAAGGAUCGGCUAACUCCGUGCCAGCAGCCGCGGUAAUACGGAGGAUGCGAGCGUUAUCCGGAUUUAUUGGGUUUAAAGGGAGCGUAGGUGGAUUGUUAAGUCAGUUGUGAAAGUUUGCGGCUCAACCGUAAAAUUGCAGUUGAAACUGGCAGUCUUGAGUAUAGUAGAGGUGGGCGGAAUGCGUGGUGUAGCGGUGAAAUGCUUAGAUAUCACGAAGAACUCCGAUUGCGAAGGCAGUUCACUGGACUGCAACUGACACUGAGGCUCGAAAGUGUGGGUAUCAAACAGGAUUAGAUACCCUUGUAGUC
RNAcentral lists this ribosomal RNA (460 nucleotides) under uncultured bacterium. RNAcentral's name for it is "partial 16S ribosomal RNA". It matches the Rfam family "Bacterial small subunit ribosomal RNA", at positions 338 to 795 of the family's 1533-position model. The record is from RNAcentral.